This 496-nucleotide ribosomal RNA is filed under the name uncultured bacterium. Its description in RNAcentral is "partial 16S ribosomal RNA". It matches the Rfam family "Bacterial small subunit ribosomal RNA", at positions 28 to 506 of the family's 1533-position model. The record is from RNAcentral.
GAUGAACGCUGGCGGCGUGCCUAAUACAUGCAAGUCGAGCGAACGGACGAGAAGCUUGCUUUUCUGAUGUUAGCGGCGGACGGGUGAGUAACACGUGGAUAACCUACCUAUAAGACUGGGAUAACUUCGGGAAACCGGAGCUAAUACCGGAUAAUAUUUUGAACCGCAUGGUUCAGAAGUGAAAGACGGUCUUGCUGUCACUUAUAGAUGGAUCCGCGCUGCAUUAGCUAGUUGGUAAGGUAACGGCUUACCAAGGCAACGAUGCAUAGCCGACCUGAGAGGGUGAUCGGCCACACUGGAACUGAGACACGGUCCAGACUCCUACGGGAGGCAGCAGUAGGGAAUCUUCCGCAAUGGGCGAAAGCCUGACGGAGCAACGCCGCGUGAGUGAUGAAGGUCUUCGGAUCGUAAAACUCUGUUAUUAGGGAAGAACAUAUGUGUAAGUAACUGUGCACAUCUUGACGGUACCUAAUCAGAAAGCCACGGCUAACUACGU